Non-coding RNA from Odocoileus virginianus texanus, 72 nucleotides. The record is from the annotation of a RefSeq genome assembly. Lineage: Eukaryota; Metazoa; Chordata; Mammalia; Artiodactyla; Cervidae.
UCCCUGGUGGUUCAGUGGUUAGAACUCGGUGCUCUCGCUGCCGAGGCCCAGGUUCAAUCCCUGGUCAGGGCA